CCACUCGCCCGAACACCGAAAGGGAGCUCGCUACACAACUUCUGCUCCUCCGGCGGUUCGCCGUUCGGACCAUUGCGUUCGCUUUGGGUCUUGGGGGGGAAGGAAGGGAGAGGAGGGGCCGCUAGCGGUUGCCAAGAGGGCUGGAGAGGGGCAGCGAAGGGCGGCUCGAGCCCAGGAGGGGGAGGCGAAGGCUCUACCUGUCAGCCUCCCCGGGUACAGUCUAGGUACCAGGAGAUGGGGCGCACGUUAGCCCUGGCGGAGGAGGACGACCACCUCCACGUCCACGCUCACCGCGGAAGGUCCGCAACUCCUCGAGACGCUACCUCCACCCCCGUUGUAGUCACGAGCUCUUUCUCCUGGUACUCACCGUUGAGGUCUCAAGCACAAGGUGUAGUGGAUUCUUCUGAGUGUUCUAAGCAGGUUUCUACCACGUGGGUGUCAACGCACACGUGAACAGGACGCGUAACCGCGCCUACACAUGGUGGAACCAACUAUCCCCUCACAAGCUGCUCACGGAUAGGCUCUAUCGACUUCGUAACGAAUUCCGUCUAAAGACGAGUCUCUACCAGAGCCUCGACGUCAAUUUUGAGUUCUUCCGGUAUCUAGAGUGACACUCGCCUUCGUUAGUGUUGGAUGUUGUCCAACAGGUGUUCCUCUAUACGUUCAAUCAACUAGGACCUUUCUUCGGUAGGAAACAGGGGUUCUUCCCCUUCGGUACAUAACAUUACCACUAUCCAGAGGUUCCGAGACCAUUGUGAUGUUCAACACGGUUCAAACCCAUGGUAGUGUUUGUAUUCCCUAUGUUUGGAAGUUACCAGAGGUGCCUAUGUUCUCCUUCAUCAAGUGAACUAGCCUGUUUUGUCUAACGUGCGCUCCGAUUCUAGGGAAAAAUACCUUCGUUAAACCUUGGUCUAGGACACUCUCAACGGCAAGUCCCGCACCUGUCUAAGUCUUUCCUCUUGAGUCUAGAAUAUUAUUAACUAUGUUCACCCUCGAGAUGUAGAUUUCUACGUGAAAAACUAUUUUAGGAAUUUUAACUCUUCCGGUGCUUCGGUCUAGACCAUCACGAGCAUCAACUACGACCUCGACCGUUCAGACGUACACUACAUCGACACAAGACGUUCUCUAUACCGAGAUAACCAAGACGAUAGCACUGGUCUUACCUGGCGGUAGGUUUACCUCCGCCAUGUGAAUCGCGUGAACGUCGUCGUUGUACAGGACAAUAUAAAAUACCUUGCCCUUUUGUUUAACUACGUAAACUUUGGAAACUGCACUUCCAGAAACACUUAUUAGAAAAUCUAAUGUUCUUAUCCUGAAAUGUUAGUUACAACUUCUAUACGUACCAUACGACCCGUUGGACGUUCAUAGACUCUGACUUUCUUCUUUGCGCUAACAUCUCUACCUUUUCUGUACGGACUUACGUAUAGUACGACAGAACCUCUUCGUGUCCUACGAACGAGUCGUCUAAAGAACAAGUCUUAGUCUUAUGUUAUUUUAAACGCUGUAGGAACCGCUCGUUCUUGAGUUCUUCUCGUCUUAGUUCAGACAGAGAAGUAAUCUUCUUUCCUUUCUCUAUUACUACUAGUUAGAUUCUUCGUACUUCUUGCUUUUCCUACUUUCUUGAUCAUUCGAGUUCCUAGAGUACAGUUUUCGGAACCUAAACACCUUGAAGAACCCACACUGUACGGGACUUGUCUCCUGGAUGUUCAGAUCCUACUUGUUAGAGUCAAGUAAGGAAGUUGUCCGAUUAUCGGACAGUAGGUUUAGCGAACUCUUCGAACGUUUCUAACAAUUCCUCGAACUUACAUUCUUUCACUUCGUUGAACUUCGUUACUUUCGCCUAUAAGAAUCUGCACGUUUCUAGAAAUAUUCUUCCUGGCUUCCGUCGUGGUUAAAACGGUCGGAUUUUCUAAACUAUUCGUGCCGACAACGUACCCUCCGUGUUGUCUCCCUACGGUAAGACAUACUUGUCCUUUUGGACCACCGAGCGAAUUUUUACCACCUUUUACUAUACGCCUACAAGCUGAAACUAAGGUGUCGACUCUCUCUUCUGUUCUCUCUAUGAGUGUACCCUUGCAGUUCGAGUAGGUCACUCUGAUGGUUCAGACUGGGGUUUCUGUCACUGAUGUACGGACUCUCAAGCCUCAGCCUACAUCUGUACUCUCUGAAACACCAGAGGCUCAGAAGACUAAGCCAGAGAAGUACUCCCUACACUACGAAACUACACCGCCGUCUCGAUCCACGUUAGUCCCAUCAGUGAACGAUGACGAGCGAGUCCGAUACUUGUUAGUACCUGGUCUGCGGAGAUCCAUACACUACGGAUAGCUCCUGUACUUUCACACCCGUUCCGAUACCAAAAGAUCAACGCGAUAGGUUCGAACGUUCGCACUACGUUUAUCUCGACGUGUACGUCACCGAUCCAACCCUAUAAGAACACUACAUUUAGGACGGAAGGACACCCUCCUACUACAAGGUCGACAUCGACGUUUGCAACACCACCCGCUCUACGGGUAAAACGGACGUCCGAUAUGUAUACGGGAAAGAGAUUCUAACUAACGUGACAGGUCGCCGUUAUAAAAGCAACUACUUAACGGGAUGGUUUAGAGGUAUGCCGGAACAAGCCAACAUCGUCUUAAUUAGGAGAUCACCUAAAUUAGGAGAUCUCCUAACCCACUAGGGGCGAACUGUGGUUUUGGUGAACCCCUGGUUUAGGAACGGUCAUACGUUAGGUGCGGUGAGAGUACGUAAGCCAAUCAGGGGUUCCCGUG
RNAcentral lists this ribosomal RNA (2768 nucleotides) under Triticum aestivum (bread wheat). RNAcentral's name for it is "partial small subunit ribosomal RNA". The record is from RNAcentral. Lineage: Eukaryota; Viridiplantae; Streptophyta; Magnoliopsida; Poales; Poaceae.